GACGAAGGGUGCAAGCGUUAUCCGGAUUCAUUGGGUUUAAAGGGAGCGUAGGUGGCCUUAUAAGUCAGUGGUGAAAUCUCUGGGCUUAACCCAGAAAUUGCCAUUGAUACUGUAGGGCUUGAGUAUAGUUGCCGUUGGCGGAAUAUGACAUGUAGUGGUGAAAUACAUAGAGAUGUCAUAGAACACCGAUUGCGAAGGCAGCUAACGAAACUAUAACUGACACUGAGGCUCGAAAGUGCGGGGAUCAAACAGG
Molecule: ribosomal RNA, 253 nt
Filed under: uncultured bacterium
Lineage: Bacteria
Description: partial 16S ribosomal RNA
Rfam family: Bacterial small subunit ribosomal RNA
Source: RNAcentral